This 77-nucleotide transfer RNA is filed under the name Deltaproteobacteria bacterium. Its description in RNAcentral is "tRNA-Met". It matches the Rfam family "tRNA". From Rfam's summary of the family: Transfer RNA (tRNA) molecules are approximately 80 nucleotides in length. Lineage: Bacteria; Pseudomonadati; Myxococcota; Myxococcia. The record is from RNAcentral.
UGCGGGGUGGAGCAGUCUGGUAGCUCGUCGGGCUCAUAACCCGAAGGCCUUAGGUUCGAAUCCUAACCCCGCUACCA